RNAcentral lists this transfer RNA (68 nucleotides) under Marmota monax (woodchuck). RNAcentral's name for it is "tRNA.Ala". Lineage: Eukaryota; Metazoa; Chordata; Mammalia; Rodentia; Sciuridae. The record is from RNAcentral.
GUUGGGGUUCAGUGGUAGAGCACUUGCCUAGCAUGUGUGAGGCACUGGGUUCGAUUCUCAGAACAACA